Molecule: non-coding RNA, 143 nt
Organism: Gossypium arboreum
Lineage: Eukaryota; Viridiplantae; Streptophyta; Magnoliopsida; Malvales; Malvaceae
Source: Rfam
UGUUAAAAAUUUUAUUUAUUUAUCCUGUUAAAAACUGGUAUGUGUGACGAAAUAACAUGAUAGUGACACGUGGUAUGCCAUAUGUAUCUCAUGUGACUUACAAUGAUCAGUUUUUAACAAUGAAAUGAAUGAAAUUUUUAACA